CAUGUUUAGAGGACAUUUAAGCUGUGUGCUGGUUGAGACCCACCUUCGUGAGGCUCAGGCUCAGCUGCUCUUCCCCAGCGUUCUUCAGGCCCCUUUCCCACUGGUCGGAGCAACUUACUGGAAGCAGCACGGUUGAAAGAGCCCUCGGCUGGGAGCCCAGAUGACUGGCUUUGUGAUCUUGGGCAAGCCACUUAACCUCCAGGAUCCACGCUGCCUUCAUCUGCAAAAUGGGGAGGUCAGGUGGGGUGUUGGUUCCACUCUCUCUCAGCACUAAUGAUCUAGCUUCUUAAAGUCAAUUCCUUCCCCUGCUCCUAUCAAAGAAGUGAGGCAGAGAGAGGUGGGGAGGGUUGCCUGCUUGGAUCAAAGUGUUGCCUCCCAGAGUCCUUGCCUUCAGUCUGUGGGACUUUCUCAUCCUGCCUCUUAAAAACUAAAAGGAAGAGGAAUGUGAUCAUUGAAAACCCUUGUGGAUUCUGGGGUGGGACUUGAUCAAUACUUGCUCACCUACUCAGAGCCUAAGCAUAAGCUCGUCUUUGGGGAACGAGAGAGAAUUAGUCAAAAGAAAGAAGAAAGGAAUAACAAUAAUAAUAAAGAGAUGAUUCAUUUCCUGCUCUUAAGAAACUCAUAUUCUAAUUGCUCAAUAAAGCGUAACAUUAUCGGACCCUUACUAUGCACUAAGAAAUGAGUGUAAGAUAAAUGUGGUAUAUCAUUUAAUUCUCUUUUAAAAUGCUAGAUACUCCCU
This 739-nucleotide long non-coding RNA is filed under the name Aotus nancymaae (Ma's night monkey). RNAcentral's name for it is "lncRNA (ENSANAG00000038962.1)". Lineage: Eukaryota; Metazoa; Chordata; Mammalia; Primates; Aotidae. The record is from RNAcentral.